UACGAAGGGGGCUAGCGUUGCUCGGAAUUACUGGGCGUAAAGCGCACGUAGGCGGCGAUUCAAGUUAGAUGUGAAAGGCCUGGGCUCAACCCUGGAACUGCCUUUGAUACUGUCGAUCUGGAGUAUGGAAGAGGUGAGUGGAAUUCCGAGUGUAGAGGUGAAAUUCGUAGAUAUUGGGAAGAACACCGGUGGCGAAGGCGGCUCUCUGGACCGAUACUGACGCUGAGGCGCGAAAGCGUGGGGAGCAAACAGG
Molecule: ribosomal RNA, 253 nt
Filed under: uncultured bacterium
Lineage: Bacteria
Description: partial 16S ribosomal RNA
Rfam family: Bacterial small subunit ribosomal RNA
Source: RNAcentral